RNAcentral lists this unclassified non-coding RNA (336 nucleotides) under soil metagenome. RNAcentral's name for it is "partial contains 5.8S ribosomal RNA, internal transcribed spacer 2, and large subunit ribosomal RNA". The stretch from base 1 to 120 matches the Rfam family "5.8S ribosomal RNA", at positions 35 to 154 of the family's 154-position model. The record is from RNAcentral.
GAUGAAGAACGCAGCGAAAUGCGAUAAGUAAUGUGAAUUGCAGAAUUCAGUGAAUCAUCGAAUCUUUGAACGCACAUUGCGCCCGCCAGUAUUCUGGCGGGCAUGCCUGUUCGAGCGUCAUUUCAACCAUCAAGCCCCAGGCUUGUGUUGGGGACCUGCGGCUGCCGCAGGCCCUGAAAACCAGUGGCGGGCUCGCUGUCACACCGGGCGUAGUAGAUUUUAUCUUGCUCAGGGCGUGCUGCGGGUUCCGGCCGUUAAAAAGCCUUUUUUACCCAAGGUUGACCUCGGAUCAGGUAGGAAUACCCGCUGAACUUAAGCAUAUCAAUAAGCGGAGGA